AUGGAGAAUAUGCAUGAUUUUAAAUCUGUGAUAAUGUUACAUGCACCUUCAAUUUCAUCCACUUUAAAAAUUACCUUCUCAUUAAAUUUUAGUGCUUUGACUAGUUUGUUCCUUUUUGCAGUUGGUCGUAAUUCAUUUCUGGCUUCUUAUGCUUUUCUGCAAGCAGAUUUCAUUGCACUUAUUGUGUUCAUAUCAUUUUCUUGGGGAUUAUUUGUCGGACAACCAACCUGGAGUUUUGCCUCUGUGGAGUACCACCCGGUCAGGCCAGGAGCUUAGUCUAAAGGAAACUCUGCCAUCGGGGACAUCAGCUGCUGUGGCCAGAGAAGAGAACAUGGUGAAUAAUGCUUCAUACCUUAGGGCAGAGCUUCUCAAAUUUAAACGUGCAUAGGCAUUUCCUGGGGAGCUUAUUAAAUCCACAUUCUGAUUCAGGAGGUCCUGGUGGGCCUGAGAUGCUACGUUUCUAUCAACCUUCUAGGUGAUGCCUAUAGUGCUGGACCAUGGGCCACACUUAGAGUACGAUGGACUUCCUGGCUUUUGCCCAGAAGUGACACAUCACUUUUGCUCUCAAAAUAAUUAAUCAAAGCAAGUCACAUGGCCAUGCCCAACUUCAAGGCAGCACAUAAUGUAAUCCAUCAUCUACAUCAGGAAGAAGAGAAUUGGAAUUUUUGUGAACAGCUCCAGUGAAGAGCAAACAAUGUGAAGCUAGGAUCUGAAUUCAGGCAGGCUGGCCCCAGAGUCUGUGCUCUUAACUAUAACUAUAUACAGUCAUGGGUGUUGGUCCAGUCUCUAUAAAGAGAAUGCUUGCCAGGCAGACAGCCAGUCGGGGAGUUAGAGUUGACUUGUGUGACUUGACACUGGGUGACUUAGACAGCUUUAGAGUUCAGUGCAGCAAUUCUCAGCAUGGUGCUACAACUCUGAAGUGUUUCAAUUCAUUUUUGCAUCUUAAUGAAGUGCCAACAUUUAUGAAUUAUUUUUAAAUUAAAAAC
RNAcentral lists this long non-coding RNA (986 nucleotides) under Piliocolobus tephrosceles (Ugandan red Colobus). RNAcentral's name for it is "lncRNA (ENSPTEG00000027280.1)". The record is from RNAcentral. Lineage: Eukaryota; Metazoa; Chordata; Mammalia; Primates; Cercopithecidae.